GGAUGAUAUAUGGACAUAAAAUAUAUGGACAUCUGUCACCCCACUCAUUGCCAGGGUUGAUUCAGCUGAUCUGGCUGGCUAGGCAGUAUCCUCUUCCUCCCUCCCCUCUUCAUAUGCAUCCCUCCCAAAGCUGUGCACUCAGUCAAAGAAGAAGGGACCUUCCCAGAUAGAGGAGGACCAUUCUUUGGUGAAGGGUAUACGAGUAGCUGUGCACCCUGCUAGAACCUCCAUAUAAGCUCUUGAGAAGAAAAGAAGAUUAAAAAAAUAAUAAACAGAGCAUUCAUUAGUAAGCUAUAGGA
This 299-nucleotide small nuclear RNA is filed under the name Propithecus coquereli (Coquerel's sifaka). RNAcentral describes it as "7SK RNA (ENSPCOG00000006848.1)". It matches the Rfam family "7SK RNA". From Rfam's summary of the family: 7SK was discovered as an abundant small nuclear RNA in the mid-70s but a possible function has only recently been suggested. Two independent studies have found that 7SK RNA binds the CDK9/cyclin T complex (known as elongation factor P-TEFb). P-TEFb activates transcription by phosphorylating the C-terminal domain of RNA polymerase II. The record is from RNAcentral. Lineage: Eukaryota; Metazoa; Chordata; Mammalia; Primates; Indriidae.